RNAcentral lists this non-coding RNA (45 nucleotides) under Schistosoma mansoni. Lineage: Eukaryota; Metazoa; Platyhelminthes; Trematoda; Strigeidida; Schistosomatidae. The record is from RNAcentral.
AUCCAGCUGACAAGUCCCGAAUAGGACGAAACGCGCAUCCUGGAU